Molecule: ribosomal RNA, 253 nt
Filed under: uncultured bacterium
Lineage: Bacteria
Description: partial 16S ribosomal RNA
Rfam family: Bacterial small subunit ribosomal RNA
Source: RNAcentral
GACGUAGGAGGCGAGCGUUAUCCGGAUUCACUGGGCGUAAAGCGCAUGUAGGCGGUUGGAUAAGUCCGUUGUUAAAGCCCCUGGCUCAACUGGGGGAGGUCAAUGGAGACUAUUCGACUUGAGGGCAACAGAGGCACAUGGAACUCCAGGUGUAGCGGUGAAAUGCUUAGAUAUCUGGAGGAACACCAGUGGCGAAGGCGGUGUUCUGGGCCUGUACUGACGCUGAUGCGCGAAAGCGUGGGGAGCGAACAGG